This 493-nucleotide ribosomal RNA is filed under the name Campylobacter upsaliensis. Its description in RNAcentral is "bacterial SSU rRNA". It matches the Rfam family "Bacterial small subunit ribosomal RNA", at positions 1 to 511 of the family's 1533-position model. The record is from RNAcentral. Lineage: Bacteria; Pseudomonadati; Campylobacterota; Epsilonproteobacteria; Campylobacterales; Campylobacteraceae.
UAUGGAGAGUUUGAUCCUGGCUCAGAGUGAACGCUGGCGGCGUGCCUAAUACAUGCAAGUCGAACGAUGAAGCUUUUAGCUUGCUAGAAGUGGAUUAGUGGCGCACGGGUGAGUAAGGUAUAGUUAAUCUGCCCUACACUGGGGGACAACACUUAGAAAUGAGUGCUAAUACCCCAUACUCCUAUUUAGCAUAAGUUAGAUAGGGAAAGUUUUUCGGUGUAGGAUGAGACUAUAUAGUAUCAGCUAGUUGGUAAGGUAAAGGCUUACCAAGGCUAUGACGCUUAACUGGUCUGAGAGGAUGAUCAGUCACACUGGAACUGAGACACGGUCCAGACUCCUACGGGAGGCAGCAGUAGGGAAUAUUGCGCAAUGGGGGAAACCCUGACGCAGCAACGCCGCGUGGAGGAUGACACUUUUCGGAGCGUAAACUCCUUUUCUUUGGGAAGAAUUUUGACGGUACCAAAGGAAUAAGCACCGGCUAACUCCGUGCCAG